GACGAACGCUGGCGGCGUGCCUAAUACAUGCAAGUAGAACGCUGAAGAGAGGAGCUUGCUCUUCUUGGAUGAGUUGCGAACGGGUGAGUAACGCGUAGGUAACCUGCCCUGUAGCGGGGGAUAACUAUUGGAAACGAUAGCUAAUACCGCAUAACAAUGGAUGACACAUGUCAUUUAUUUGAAAGGGGCAAUUGCUCCACUACAAGAUGGACCUGCGUUGUAUUAGCUAGUAGGUGAGGUAACGGCUCACCUAGGCGACGAUACAUAGCCGACCUGAGAGGGUGAUCGGCCACACUGGGACUGAGACACGGCCCAGACUCCUACGGGAGGCAGCAGUAGGGAAUCUUCGGCAAUGGGGGCAACCCUGACCGAGCAACGCCGCGUGAGUGAAGAAGGUUUUCGGAUCGUAAAGCUCUGUUGUAAGUCAAGAACGAGUGUGAGAGUGGAAAAUUCACACUGUGACGGUAGCUUACCAGAAAGGGACGGCUAACUACGUGCCAGCAGCCGCGGUAAUACGUAGGUCCCGAGCGUUGUCCGGAUUUAUUGGGCGUAAAGCGAGCGCAGGCGGUUUGAUAAGUCUGAAGUUAAAGGCUGUGGCUCAACCAUAGUUCGCUUUGGAAACUGUCAAACUUGAGUGCAGAAGGGGAGAGUGGAAUUCCAUGUGUAGCGGUGAAAUGCGUAGAUAUAUGGAGGAACACCGGUGGCGAAAGCGGCUCUCUGGUCUGUAACUGACGCUGAGGCUCGAAAGCGUGGGGAGCGAACAGGAUUAGAUACCCUGGUAGUCCACGCCGUAAACGAUGAGUGCUAGGUGUUGGAUCCUUUCCGGGAUUCAGUGCCGCAGCUAACGCAUUAAGCACUCCGCCUGGGGAGUACGACCGCAAGGUUGAAACUCAAAGGAAUUGACGGGGGCCCGCACAAGCGGUGGAGCAUGUGGUUUAAUUCGAAGCAACGCGAAGAACCUUACCAGGUCUUGACAUCCCGAUGCUAUUUCUAGAGAUAGAAAGUUACUUCGGUACAUCGGUGACAGGUGGUGCAUGGUUGUCGUCAGCUCGUGUCGUGAGAUGUUGGGUUAAGUCCCGCAACGAGCGCAACCCCUAUUGUUAGUUGCCAUCAUUCAGUUGGGCACUCUAGCGAGACUGCCGGUAAUAAACCGGAGGAAGGUGGGGAUGACGUCAAAUCAUCAUGCCCCUUAUGACCUGGGCUACACACGUGCUACAAUGGUUGGUACAACGAGUUGCGAGUCGGUGACGGCAAGCUAAUCUCUUAAAGCCAAUCUCAGUUCGGAUUGUAGGCUGCAACUCGCCUACAUGAAGUCGGAAUCGCUAGUAAUCGCGGAUCAGCACGCCGCGGUGAAUACGUUCCCGGGCCU
This 1369-nucleotide ribosomal RNA is filed under the name uncultured bacterium. RNAcentral's name for it is "bacterial SSU rRNA". It matches the Rfam family "Bacterial small subunit ribosomal RNA", at positions 28 to 1381 of the family's 1533-position model. The record is from RNAcentral.